GACCACAAUCCGGAAAAAACUGUG
This 24-nucleotide non-coding RNA is filed under the name Arabidopsis thaliana (thale cress). Lineage: Eukaryota; Viridiplantae; Streptophyta; Magnoliopsida; Brassicales; Brassicaceae. The record is from RNAcentral.